Molecule: long non-coding RNA, 3098 nt
Filed under: Sus scrofa (pig)
Lineage: Eukaryota; Metazoa; Chordata; Mammalia; Artiodactyla; Suidae
Description: lncRNA (ENSSSCG00015023527.1)
Source: RNAcentral
UAUUGUGGAAGCAUGUGUUGGUAUCAAGGUACCAUAAGAUCAAAGAAGCUGAAAUGCUGAGCUAACACCUAGGGGACAAUUGCUUAGAAAAUUGUCUGCAGAGAAUUUAGCAUAAAGAGGCUGCAUGAAAAUUGGAGGGUUGUUUUAUUUUUUUUAUCAUGGAAAACCUAAUCUGUCUUGAUUCACACACUAUGUUUGAUGGGUAAAGAAGGUGGAGAAGCUCUAAAUAUUUAUAUGUUAAUAUUCUCACAUGCAUCUUCCCAUUUAAUCAUCAAAACAGCCCUGCAGGUAGGUACUACUUUUAUAGCUGCUUGAUAGACAGGGAGACAAUGGCUCAAAGAAGUGAAGCUUCACAAGGGCCAUCAGCUACUAAGGUGGCAGAGGAGGGUCUUAAACUCAGGUCAGAGUCCAUACACCAGGAUUGCACACCCCAUUGCCUCCGACAGUGUUCAUUCACUCACCAGGCGGGGCACUGAACUUGGUCUCCACCAACAUCUCAAUCUUCCUAAGUCUGGUUAGUAGCAGUUUUGUUCAUCCCAAAUGAUCAUUUUCCUAAUUUAACUGAUUUUAUGGAACUUUUCUGCUGGUUAAGAUGAUGUAAGAAAACUAAUUUAAAGAGCAAUCAACCUGUAGUUAACAAUGCUGUAUUAUACACUGGAAAAAAUGGUAAAAGAGUAGAUCUCAUGUUAAACAUCCUUGCUCCAAUAAAAACCAAAAAACAAGAUGAAUUGACUUUCUUGCCAAUAUAAAGAGAUAUUCAAAUGCACAUGUGCAUAUUAUCAUAGUCCAACUUCUCUGUCAAGUACCAAAUAGACACAACAUUUAUUCCAGUUGUUUAUACUGUAUAUUAUUUUUAUUUCCAGAAUGACCUUGUGUGACCGCCUUAUUCAUGGAUUAAAUACAUUCCAGUAGUGUACACAUAACUAAUCUAUGGAAGGCAUGUAAAAUGAGAUUAGUUCAUGCAAAGUGGAGCGCAUUUCAUUUCAGUUCCCCUUCCAAGCUGAUUGGUUUAGCAGAAAUUUUCAUUUGUCCAAACUAUUCCAGUGAUCUAUUCUGCUGACUUCUCUCUCUGUUGCCUUUAGAAGUAGUCACGUUUCCAUUCAAACUAUUCCAACUCUUGUAGUAACCGCACUUCACAAAGCUUUAUGUAACAUCAAGUUCUUGUCCUGAAAAUAAAAGUCUGGUUACAUUCCUUGUGAAUGCCUUCCUUCAUCUGGGUGGAAUUGAAACUUUUCUGUUUUAUCAGUUCAGAUAACCACCAGGUCACACAGAGGCCACAAAGGAAUCAACAGAAAUGCUUGCUGCUCAACACUUUGCUGGCUUCAGCCACUGCCUUUAGAAAGUCAAUAGAAUGUAUUUUCCUGACAUAAGCUACCUACUUUUUAAAUUUCCCUAUGCCUUUCAUACUCAAGAAGCUGUGAUUCAAAAACUAAAUGAAAUUUCCCUGUUUAUGUUAAAAGUCUACUCCAGAUAUUUUCAGUGACUAUUUUGUCUUUUUAAAGUGUAUGGAUUUCAGAUACAGAUAGAUAGGAUUCUAGUCCAUGACCUCUGGUCUCUCAACUUGCUAUUGCUUUUAAUAAAAAUUAGAGCAGUUGGCUCUGUAGCAGUCAGAUUUGAUUGUAGUUCCUGAUAAAGUAAGCCUUUAUCCAUUUAAAUCCUACUUUAAAGGACAUCAGGACAACCAACCUGAAUUUUUAAAAACUAUUAAUGUUCUGAAUGUUCUUACAAAGUAAGAAAAAGAAACAUGUUCCAAAUUUUUCUGACAUAGUAUUAAAGUUGUACUUCAAUAUAAAGCCUUGAGUGGUAUUUGAAGACAUCUGAUUAAAUGCUUACUGGCUUAGGAGUGCUGAGCAUGAAAUUAAAAGUCAGCAGAAAGUAACAAUGAUGACUACCUACUACUAAAGGAAAUGUAAGUGGCUUUACCCUACAGCCCUGCACCAACCUUUUCCUAGUUGUGCAUUUCCACAGAUAUGGAUUCAGCUUUAUUCCUUCGUUAAGUAAAAUAAGUAAGGAUGAUGGCGGUCAGUUGCCUCUAAAAAGGUAAAGCAUUCCUUCCAAAUCCAUAUGAUACCAUGUCUAUGUCCUAGUUUUACCUAUGCUACCAUAGAAAAGACCUAAAACCGAGUGUGGAAUAUUUUGGUCCUAGAAGCCUAGCAAAAACGACUUGUACAUACUUCAUAACAAAAGUUAUGUACUUAUCUCAUCAAUAGGUUAUAAUAUUGGUGUUGCUUAUCAUCUCAAAGAUCCCAAAGAGUCAUGUUUAUAAGAAAGACAAUAAAUCAUAUGAUAUCUGCCAUUCACAAAAAUAAAAUUAUACUUAAUAUAAUGUUAGCAAGGGCUCUUAAUAGGGAAUUUUUUAAAAUUCAGACUUUGAUAUAUGUUUUGGUACGUGAUUGCUGGAUAAAAACUAUUCCAACACAGUUAUUUAAAGCAAAAACAAAUGGAAUAGGAGAAAGUAUUUGUAAACCUUGUAUCUGAUGAGGGGUUAGUAUCCAAAAUAUGUAAGGUACUCAUGUAACUAGAUAGCAAGAAAACGAAAACAGUAAUACCUGUGAACUAUUAUUCAGCAAUAGAAAACAGUGAGAUGCUAUCACUUGACACAACAUGGAUGAACCUAGAGGACAUUAUAUUAAGUGACACAGAAAGACAUUGUGUGAUGUCGCUUAUAUGUAGAAUCUAAAAAAAAAAAUUGAGUUUGUAGCAGCAGAGAGGAGAAUGGUGGUUACAGGGGUUUCAGGGUGGAAGAAAUGGGAAGAUGUUGGUCAAAGGGUACAGAGUUUCAAAUAUGCAGUACGAAUAAGUUCUGGAGAUCUAAUGUAUAACAUAGUGACUAUAAAUAAUACUGUAUUAAAUAAUUCAACUUUUCUAAGAGAGUAGAUCUUUUUUUUAAAAAAUUGAGGUGUUAUUGAUUUACAUUGCUGUAUUUUAGGUGUAUAACAAAGUAAUUUUUUAUUACAUAUAUAUAUAAAGAGUUUAAUAUUUUUUCAGAUUAUUUUCCAUUAUAGGUCAUGACAGGAUAUUGAAUAUAAUUCCUUAUGCUAUACUGUAAAUCCUUUUUGGUUGUCUAUUUUAUAUAUAGUAGUUUAUAUCUGUUAGUU